AUUCAUCUGUCGAUGGACACUUAGGUUGCUUCCAUGUCCUGGCUAUUGUAAACAGUGCUGCAAUGAACAUCUACACCAUAUUUGUAAAGGUGCCAUCUGGAGUUGCCAGCACACCCUGCCUCAUUAUACUCCUUGUCUGCCAUGCCCCAGUCACUAUCCCAACCUCUUGCUUCUCUUAGUCCUAUUUGGAUGCUGAGUCUGGGGUACAGUAAAAGGUGUAGGGAUGAGGGCUUUGACUAUCCCUUCUCUUGCUUAAAAAAAUUCUUUGUCCUUCUUCCUAAUGGAGAACUAAAAGUUUUCCCUUGAAAAUGAAUUAUAGCACCAUCUUUAUAACAAAAGAAGCACUUUGCACCAAUCAUACUGUCUACUAAUUCACAGGCACUGGAAAAACGAGUAUAUAUGGAAAAAACUGGUUCUUGGUAAGAACAUGUCUUAAUUUUCAGAGAGGUAAUUCUUGGCCAAAAGUAGAAAUGGGGGUACUUCUGUGUCAGUAAGUGACCCCACUGAACGCACAGCAAUCGUGCCAUAUGGAGAGUUUCAGUGUGGCUCCUUCUGCAACAUUUACCUCUUGGCAUAUUGUUUCUGGAAUGCAGCUUGUUCUUAAAGAAAGAAAACUAGUUUUGGAGUCUUCACAGCUAGGUUCUUCCCCCUGCUGGGACCAUUUGUCCACAACCUACUUGAGCUCUUGACUUCCUGUCCUAGGUCAGGAGGUAACUAACAGCUCAAACUUGAUGUUCAGAGAACACACUGGCUCUGGGUAUGAGGUUUGCUUCUGGUUACCUCACUCCAGAGGCCAAAUGCCCAGUUCCGACGACUAGGUCUUACUUUAAUAUCACGUUCUUUUGGAACUGUGGCUAUGUUCUAGUUUCGCUGGAGUGUCCUAUUCCUGAUUCUUGUGGCUGCUUUCCACUCAGGGGGUCUACUUUCCUGUGGCUUUUCCUUUAUUUCCCAUUAGCAAACUCCACCUGUUUACCCGCAGGAAUAUACAAACUCUUUCCUGGACCAUCCUGGACACUGUGCUGUUGGGAUGCUCUGUUUCACCACCUGCAUGGACUUCCCACACUGGAAGGGGAGACCAGCAAGUUAGAGGUCAAGGGCUUACCCACCUGCUCCAUCUUACUGCCUUGAGCACUACAGGGGAUUAAAUGAGGAGCAAGGAGAAAAGAUAGGAAAACUUACCACUGAAAUUAACGUGGACUAGGAUCUGAGUCUAAGGAAGAGGCAAAAGUAGGAAGGAGAGAUUUUAUAGCUGCUACAACAAAGAAGGACAGUGAAAACCUUAAUUAAUUUUGCUAUUCUACAGUACAGACGAAAUUCUAAAUGCACAAGUUAUGAAAUGAAAAGACUAAGGUACUGUAAUAGGUAAGGUAAGGUAACAUUCAGGCAGGAUGUUUUGGGGCACUAGACCUAAGCACAAAAAGAAAAACUCUUAGGCUGGAAAUAAACGAAAUCACUUCGUAUUCAUAAUUCGUAGCUAAGAAAAUACAUCUGUGCUAUUCCAUCAUUCAACAAAACUUUAUAAAACACCUACAGGAUAUGAAGCCCUCUCUCAGGUUUUCUACUCAAAGAAAACAUAGAUUUGUAUAAAGAUAAUAUAGAAUAGUCCAAUCAGAGACAAAGUACAACUGGGGAGCGGCAGAGAAUGGCAUACAAACAGUAAGAUAUUAGAAAUCUUAAAAAUUCACUCUCUCUGCACUUAUAAGGCAUGUGUUGGUUUAUUCAGCGGCAGUUGCUUCCAGAACAGAAAAAAAAAACACAACAGGUUCAUUGUAAUAUCCAUCGCGCUCAUUUUUUUCAAAGCCACGUUCUGGAUGGAUCCUUCAUGUACCAAGUUAUAGAAACUAAAAUGCAUAUUUCUGCUGAAACGGAAAGUUCCUGAUUGGUAAGUUGGUGCUGGCUUGCCUCUGAGUUUAGUGAAUGUCACAUUCUUACUGUUUCAAGUUCUGACAGGCUCAGGCCUGGCUCAAUCUGGAGAAAUAAGGAGAUUCAGUGCUGGGGAUCUAAGACUGCUGUAGCCAUAAACCAAGAUGCUUCCUACAGAGAGUUACAACUGGGAACAGAUGGUACCUGUCAUCCCACUAUACCAAACAUGACCUCACCAGCCCCUCUAACCUUCCUCAAUUUGAGCCAUAGCAUCUUUCCACGAAUUUGCGGCUUGUUGAUGGCCAGCACUUGACGCUCCUGGAAAGCCACUGUUAUCCUCAUCUGGAUGGUAAAUACCAAACUCUAGUGGGCAUGAGAAUCUACUGGAGGGCACAUCAAGCAUGCAACUCACCACCCUAUCCCUUGGGUCUGCAUUGAGUCCCAUGAAUCUGCUUGUAUAUGAAUCAAGGAGUGAAAGCGAUUCUGCACAUUCGACAGAAGGUGUUCAUGGUCAACGUUUCUAGGAUCAGGGCUGCCGCUUGUCAGGUCGUCUCCAGCAGGUCCCUGUUCCUUGGCAGCAGUGUCUGCACUAAAAGAUUUAUUGACAGGGUGAUGUGGGCAGAUGCAGUCACAGUGGGCUCAACACUCUGAGAAUAGACUCCUCUCAGACCGUAAAAAAUUCUGAUCUUUUCUACAGCUUGAUCUAAGCCUAUGGAAAUCAAAAGCUUUGGCCCCCGCUGGAUAUCUUUACUCUCAAAUUCUGGUUAUUAAAGGUGGUAAAAAUGUA
This is a long non-coding RNA of Aethalodelphis obliquidens (Pacific white-sided dolphin), 2650 nucleotides long. RefSeq lists it as uncharacterized. The transcript has 2 exons. NCBI's taxonomy places the organism in Eukaryota, Metazoa, Chordata, Mammalia, Artiodactyla, Delphinidae. The record is from RefSeq and is a predicted model, not a curated record.